CGGCGGGCCUGUUCCGUCGCCCCGUUCCCCUUCCCCCACGAACAAAACCCCGGCGCACGAUGCGCCAAGGAAUCGCAACGAGAAAAGGAACGAGCACCCGUCGCGCACCGGGAACGGAAUGCGCGCGGGCGGCCUCGUAUUCUYUGAAAACAAAACGACUCUCGGCAACGGAUAUCUCGGCUCUCGCAUCGAUGAAGAACGUAGCGAAAUGCGAUACUUGGUGUGAAUUGCAGAAUCCCGUGAACCAUCGAGUCUUUGAACGCAAGUUGCGCCCGAAGCCUUCGGGCCGAGGGCACGUCUGCCUGGGUGUCAUGCACCGUCGCCCCCCAUCCCCACUCCCCCGAGGGGAGUCGGGAAGCCCGGGGCGGACAAUGGCCUCCCGUGCGCUCUCGCUCGCGGUUGGCCUAAAUCCGAGUUGUUGGCGGCGAGCGCCACGGCAAGCGGUGGUUGGAAAGACCCUCUGAAGUGUCG
This 471-nucleotide ribosomal RNA is filed under the name Barteria fistulosa. RNAcentral describes it as "eukaryotic LSU rRNA". The stretch from base 157 to 312 matches the Rfam family "5.8S ribosomal RNA". Lineage: Eukaryota; Viridiplantae; Streptophyta; Magnoliopsida; Malpighiales; Passifloraceae. The record is from RNAcentral.